GCCAGGUGUGGUGGUGCAUGCCUGUAAUCCCAGCUACUUGGGAGACUGAGACAGGAGGACUGCUUGAGCCCAGGAGUUGGAGGCUGCAGUGAGCUGCGAUUGCACCAUUGCACUCUAGCCUGGGCAACAAAGUGAGACCCUGUCUCUU
Molecule: unclassified non-coding RNA, 148 nt
Organism: Papio anubis (olive baboon)
Lineage: Eukaryota; Metazoa; Chordata; Mammalia; Primates; Cercopithecidae
Rfam family: Metazoan signal recognition particle RNA
About the family: The signal recognition particle (SRP) is a universally conserved ribonucleoprotein. It is involved in the co-translational targeting of proteins to membranes. The eukaryotic SRP consists of a 300-nucleotide 7S RNA and six proteins: SRPs 72, 68, 54, 19, 14, and 9.
Source: Ensembl